RNAcentral lists this transfer RNA (92 nucleotides) under Planomonospora parontospora. Its description in RNAcentral is "tRNA-Arg". Lineage: Bacteria; Bacillati; Actinomycetota; Actinomycetes; Streptosporangiales; Streptosporangiaceae. The record is from RNAcentral. RNAcentral also lists the same sequence under 1 other name.
CGUUCAUGGGUAAGUGGCUGCCCGGGAUCUCACGGAGAUCCCGGGCGCGCGCCCGGCACCGCGUGUCGGGGCUCGGCACCCGGAUGGGGGGC